GAAUAACUGACCAUGCACAGGAUCACUUGGGUGAUGUUGUUUAUGUUGAACUGCCUGAAGUUGGAGCUACAGUUUCACAAGGAAAGAAUUUUGGUGCAGUUGAGAGUGUGAAGGCAACCAGUGACAUCAACUCCCCUGUGUCAGGAGAAAUAGUUGAAGUCAACUCUGAACUUACGGGAUCUCCAGGUUUGGUUAACGCUAGCCCGUACGAGAAAGGUUGGAUUAUCAAAGUCAAGGUGGGCGAUACUGGCGAGCUGGAUUCUUUGAUGGAUUCGGACAAGU
Molecule: unclassified non-coding RNA, 282 nt
Filed under: Hevea brasiliensis (rubber tree)
Lineage: Eukaryota; Viridiplantae; Streptophyta; Magnoliopsida; Malpighiales; Euphorbiaceae
Source: RNAcentral